CGGGGCGUAGCGCAGCUUGGUUAGCGCGCUAGCAUGGGGGGCUAGAGGUCGCCGGUUCAAAUCCGGCCGCCCCGACCA
This 78-nucleotide transfer RNA is filed under the name Pseudomonadota bacterium. RNAcentral describes it as "tRNA-Pro". It matches the Rfam family "tRNA". Rfam says of the family: Transfer RNA (tRNA) molecules are approximately 80 nucleotides in length. Their secondary structure includes four short double-helical elements and three loops (D, anti-codon, and T loops). Lineage: Bacteria; Pseudomonadati; Pseudomonadota. RNAcentral also lists the same sequence under 2 other names. The record is from RNAcentral.